CCUACGGGGGGCAGCAGUGGGGAAUAUUGGACAAUGGGCGAAAGCCUGAUCCAGCAAUGCCGCGUGAAUGAUGAAGGCCUUAGGGUUGUAAAGUUCUUUUAGUGGGGAAGAUAAUGACGGUACCCACAGAAAAAGCACCGGCUAACUUCGUGCCAGCAGCCGCGGUAAUACGAAGGGUGCAAGCGUUGUUCGGAAUUACUGGGCGUAAAGCGUGCGUAGGCGGCUUUAUAAGUUGGAAGUGAAAUCCCGGGGCUUAACCUCGGAAUUGCUUUCAAAACUAUUAAGCUAGAGUAUGGCAGGGGACAGUGGAAUUCCUAGUGUAGAGGUGAAAUUCGUAGAUAUUAGGAGGAACACCAGUGGCGAAAGCGACUGUCUGGACCAUUACUGACGCUGAGGCACGAAAGCGUGGGGAGCAAACAGGAUUAGAUACCCUGGUAGUC
RNAcentral lists this ribosomal RNA (440 nucleotides) under uncultured bacterium. Its description in RNAcentral is "bacterial SSU rRNA". It matches the Rfam family "Bacterial small subunit ribosomal RNA", at positions 338 to 795 of the family's 1533-position model. The record is from RNAcentral.